Molecule: long non-coding RNA, 2189 nt
Filed under: Homo sapiens (human)
Lineage: Eukaryota; Metazoa; Chordata; Mammalia; Primates; Hominidae
Description: HSALNT0143028
Source: RNAcentral
GCUGGUGGAGAAAAUGUCUCCUGGUUUCCAUCCUUCGCUCUGUGCACCCACUCUACCACUCACGAGGGUGGCUCCCCGUGGGCAGAAAGCACCACGUAGACAUGGUCUCAGCACAUGGUCAUUUGGAUGUAUGGGGUUGGCUUGUUUACAGAGCUGCAGGGUGUAUUUUAGAGGAGCACUCUGUUGGCAAGCUUGGUGUGUGUCUUCCAGGAUCUUCUAGCUUGGUAACUCAGUUAGAAUUCCAGGAAAGUGAGCAGCUAAAACCUGAGGAUGUUUUCCUGGCAUAAUUCUUUCAGUCAAGCCACAAAUACUCUCUGCAGUAUACAUCCCACUCUCUGUCUUGUUUUUUAGGGUUUUUCUUUUCAGUACAGUUUUGAGCACCUGCCUUGUGCCUCAAUGAAUACUUGUUGGGUGAUGAAUGAUAUAAAAUUCAUCUUGACAUUCAGCUUAGGUUUGGAAGACAGUGUAUGAUUUCUUUACCAUGGCCUUGACUCAUCUUCUGAAUGGUCAGGCUAAGUGCUGCCUCCUUCUCUGUGUAGCCUAUUCAGGCACCUGCUCACCUACCACAACCUGCCAGGCCCCUCCUGCUCUGGAAGCAUGCUAUGUGAGAAAUAAUCCUAAUAUCCAAGUCACAGACAGUGGGUGGGCUUGGAAGUGCAGGGCCUGUGAUCCCUUUGUGGAGUAGCUGAAUUUAGAAGUGACAGCAAUUGUGUUCUAUAAUGAGAAUGGUCCUGAUCAUCAUGAGAAUAAUAGCUGCCUUUUAUUGAGAAACUGUCAGGUACCAGCUACUGUGCUGAGCAUUUUCUAUGCAUUUGCUCCCAUGUUCAGAUCCCUCCUCUGUCUUCGUGUGUGAUAUGGUUUGGCUGUGUCCCCACCCAAAUCUCAUCUUGAAUUGUAGCUCCCAUAAUUCACACGUGUUGUGGGAGGGACACAGUGGAAGAUAAUUGAAUCAUGGGAGCAGUUUCCCUCCCACUGUUCUCAUGAUAGUGAAUAAAUCUCACAAGAUCUGAUGGUUUUAUGAGGAGAAACCCUUUUCACUUGGUCGUCAUUCUGUCUUGCCUGCUGUCAUAUAAGAUGUGCCUUUUGCCUUCUGCCAUGAUUGUGAGGCAUCCCUAACCACAUGGAACUCUGAGUCCAUUAAACUUCUUUUUCUUUAUAAAUUACCCAGUUUUGGAUAUGUCUUUAUCAGCAGUGUGAAAAUGGACUAAUACAAUGGGUAAUUGUGAAACCUGAUUCUCAGAGUCAGGAGAAGUUUUCCCAUUGAAACAGAGCAGAAUGCCCAGGAUACACCUAGAAUGGUGUCAGCACAACAUAUGAGACAUAUGGAGAAUGCAGUUGACCCAUGAGCCUGCAUAUAUGGUGUCAUACUGGAAUACUCCCUGAGAAGCGUUGUGUAAACCACAUAGGACUAAAGGCCCCUCAUUUGCAGACUCUGCUGGGGUUCUUUGUAUAGGAGGACUUUAUGGAAAAUAAUAGAGGGGCUUGACUUUACUGUGUAUGCCUUGGUUAAAGUAAUGUCCCUCAAAAGCCCCUUUGGUACUCAGAGACAUGGUUCACCCCUCAAAGUCAUAGAAGGAUCAGUGAUGGGAGCUUGGAGUGAAUGGUAACAAUAGAUGAUAGCAUCAAGUCAAUUAUUCAGAAAAACUGACACUAGUGGCUUAAGUACUCAAGCAUUUAUAAUCUCACUUGAGAACUAUGAGGUAGGUAUUUUGAGGUUGAUUUAUCAGCUCUAAUGUCUCGUCAAGUAUCCAGGGUCAUUCUUCAUUUCUGCCUCUCUCUACUUAGCUUUUGACUGUUGCCUUCAAACUUACUGCUUCUUGGUCACAAGGUGGCUACCCCAGCUCCAGGCAUUGCAUCUGAAUUCAAAGAAGAUACAGUGUAUGUAUUUGUAGGUGGGGUGGGAUGAGGUGAAAGCGCUUCUAUGUAUGACUUCAUGCCUGUUCCUUUUACAGGAAACCAAAAAGUUUCCCAGAAGACUUCCAGAUGACUUCUCUUUACCUCUCAUUAGUCAGAACAAGAUCAAAUGGGGAUCCCUAGGCAUAAGGGAGGCUGGGAAAGUGAGCAUCUUGGUGGAGAGGAAGAUGAUGGUCUUAACCAUAUCAGAUAUAUUUUAAUUCAUAGUCUUGGAGCAGGAGGAAGAUAUUAUUGUUAUCCCUACUGUGUGGAUGAAAAGACUGAAGUUGAAAGAG